AUGUAUAAAAAUACGGACGUAAGUGAUAGUAUUAAAUUAGAAAAAGGGAAAGAAUGUAAAAAAGACGAAAAUGUUAUAAUAAGAUUAAAAAGAAAAAUUGAUGAUACAACUAUACCUUCAAUAUAUUUAAAAAAGUCGAAUAAGAAAAUAUGCAAUGGAGUAUUUUAUAAGCAUAUAGAUACUUUAAAUUGUGAUUUAAAUAUUGAAAAAAAAAAUAUAGAAUGUAUUAAUUUAUUAUUAAAAAAUGAAGAUUUUAAUUUUAAUGAUUAUAAUAAUAAUAGUUUUAAAAAUAGUAAUGAUAAGAACAGUUGUAAUAAUAAUAAAUCAUUUUUAUUUGAUAAAAAAAGAAAGUUUCAAUUAUUAAAGGUUUACGAAAAAGAUUUAAAAUAUACUAUCAAGAAUUUAAAAAAAUAUAAAAUUAUUAAUCAAAAUAUUCACUAUUUUAAUUUGGAUGGAGAAAAAAAAGAAACUUAUAAAAUAAUAGAUGUAGAUUUAUUUAAUAAAGAUAAAAAAGUUAAAAGUAACAUAAAAAAUGACGAUAAUAAUAUUAAUGAUAAUUAUGAAAACAAUAGUAAUAAAUAUAAUGAAAUAGAAGAAUUAUAUGAAUACGAUUUAUAUAUUUUGGAUAAUGAAAAAUUACAAAUAAAUAAUUAUAUGGAUAGUUUAUAUGAAAUUAAAAAUAAUAAUAAUAAUUUAUCAAAUGUAAUAGUAUUAGAAGAUAUGGAUGAAAGUAGUCCUAAGGAAUAUACCAUGAAUUCUUCAUCUUCCUCUACAAGUGAUGAUGACACAAAAAAAGACAUGUCAGAUUAUCCAGAUAAAAGUUCAAGUGAAUACUCAAAUGAUAGUAGUUCUUAUAUUAAUGAUUCACAGGAUGAUAGUGAUGGUAGUCAUGGUAGUCAUUAUAACCAUGAUAAGAUCGAGCUUGACAAUUGGAGCAGUUCUUAUGUUGAUGAUGAGUUUAAUUUUUUAAGUGACGAGAGUGAAGUAACAAAUAGUGAUAAAAAUAUUAAAGAGGGAAGUUCCUCCAUUAAAAAUAAUAACAAUAAUAAUAUUCAUAAUUAUAUUAGUUUCAACAAAUGUAAUAGUUACAAUCAUAAUAUUGUGAGCAAGUUUGAAAAUAGUAACCUAUUCAACCAUUUUAACAAUUGUAAGAAAAGUGUGUUAAAAGAAGACUUAAAAAGCGAAAACAGUGAAAAAAGUGGAAACAUUGGAAACAGUCAAAAAAGCGAAAACAGUCAAAAAAGCGAAAACAGUGAAAAAAGUAUACAUAAUAAUUUUAUUGAUUUUGAAUAUUGUAUAGAUAAUAAAUCGUUUACAAAUCACAAAAAUGGCUUAAAAAAUGGCUUAGAAAAUGGCUUAAAAAAUGGCUUAGAAAAUGGCUUAAAAAAUGGCUUAAAAAAUGACUUAAAAAAUGACUUAAAAAAUGACUUAAAAAAUGACUUAAAAAAUGGCUUAAAAAGUGGCUUAAAAAAUAGUUGGAAUAGUAAUUAUAAGAAUAAAAUGAAUGAUUUAUUUUUAGAAGAAAAAAUAAAAGAAAAGUUAAAAAAAGAAUUAAAAAAAAAAAAUGGAAAUGUUUAUAAUGUAACAUUAUCAGAAAGGUUGGAAAUUUUAGAAAAAAUGGAAAAAGAGUAUUAUGACCGGUUUUAA
This is a long non-coding RNA of Piliocolobus tephrosceles (Ugandan red Colobus), 1647 nucleotides long. The record is from Ensembl. Lineage: Eukaryota; Metazoa; Chordata; Mammalia; Primates; Cercopithecidae.